UUAUGGCCAUAUCAUGUUGAAACAACGGUUCCCAUAUGGUCACCAAAGUUAAGCUACAUCAAACCUGGUCAGUACCUAGUUGGGUAACCACUUAGGAAUACCAUGUGCUGUAU
Non-coding RNA from Acanthosepion pharaonis, 113 nucleotides. Lineage: Eukaryota; Metazoa; Mollusca; Cephalopoda; Sepiida; Sepiidae. The record is from the annotation of a GenBank genome assembly.